Molecule: non-coding RNA, 113 nt
Organism: Acanthosepion pharaonis
Lineage: Eukaryota; Metazoa; Mollusca; Cephalopoda; Sepiida; Sepiidae
Source: the annotation of a GenBank genome assembly
UACAGCCAUAUCACAUAGAAACACCGGUUCCCAUAUGAUCACCAAAGUUAAGCAACAUUGAGCUUGGUCAGUACCGAAAUGGGUAACCACUUGGAAAUACUAGGUACUGUAAG